Molecule: ribosomal RNA, 963 nt
Filed under: Sporidiobolales sp. LM391
Lineage: Eukaryota; Fungi; Basidiomycota; Microbotryomycetes; Sporidiobolales
Description: bacterial SSU rRNA
Rfam family: Eukaryotic small subunit ribosomal RNA (bases 1-352)
Source: RNAcentral
CUGGGCCGCACGCGCGCUACACUGACAGAGCCAGCGAGUCUACCACCUUUGCCGGAAGGCAUGGGUAAUCUUGUGAAACUCUGUCGUGAUGGGGAUAGAACAUUGCAAUUAUUGUUCUUCAACGAGGAAUACCUAGUAAGCGUGAUUCAUCAGAUCGCGUUGAUUACGUCCCUGCCCUUUGUACACACCGCCCGUCGCUACUACCGAUUGAAUGGCUUAGUGAGGCCUCCGGAUUGGCUAUUGGGAGCUCGCGAGAGCACCCGACUGCCGAGAAGUUGUACGAACUUGGUCAUUUAGAGGAAGUAAAAGUCGUAACAAGGUUUCCGUAGGUGAACCUGCGGAAGGAUCAUUAGUGAAUCUAGGACGUCCAACUUAACUUGGAGUCCGAACUCUCACUUUCUAACCCUGUGCAUCUGUUUUAAAAUUGGCUAGUAGCUCUUCGGAGCGAACCACCAUUUUUCACUUAUACAAACACAAAGUCUAUGAAUGUAAACAAAUUUAUAACAAAACAAAACUUUCAACAACGGAUCUCUUGGCUCUCGCAUCGAUGAAGAACGCAGCGAAAUGCGAUACGUAAUGUGAAUUGCAGAAUUCAGUGAAUCAUCGAAUCUUUGAACGCACCUUGCGCUCCUUGGUAUUCCGAGGAGCAUGCCUGUUUGAGUGUCAUGAAAUCUUCAACCCACCUCUUUCUUAGUGAAUCUGGGGGGUGCUUGGUUUCUGAGCGCUGCUCUGCUUCGGCUUAACUCGUUCGUAAUGCAUUAACCAUCCCCCACCGAAACUUCCGGAUUGGCUUGGCGUAAAAAAACUAAUUCCCCUGAAGGAAUUCCCAAACUUUGUUUCUGGGAACCCCAAAUUUUGGGUUUAAAAGGGAAACCUUUCCAAAACCCCAAAAAGGCCCAAUUUUUUUUGGAAUUAAAAAACCCCCCAAAACCCGGGGGAGGGGAACUUACCCCCCCCUGGAAA